UUACCAUGCAAGUCGAACGGGAUCCAUCAGGCUUUGCUUGGGGUGAGAGUGGCGAACGGGUGAGUAAUGCGUGACCGACCUGCCCCAUACACCGGAAUAGCUCCUGGAAACGGGUGGUAAUGCCGGAUGCUCCAGUUGAUCGCAUGGUCUUCUGGGAAAGCUUUCGCGGUAUGGGAUGGGGUCGCGUCCUAUCAGCUUGACGGCGGGGUAACGGCCCACCGUGGCUUCGACGGGUAGCCGGCCUGAGAGGGCGACCGGCCACAUUGGGACUGAGAUACGGCCCAGACUCCUACGGGAGGCAGCAGUGGGGAAUAUUGCACAAUGGGCGCAAGCCUGAUGCAGCGACGCCGCGUGAGGGAUGGAGGCCUUCGGGUUGUAAACCUCUUUUAUCGGGGAGCAAGCGAGAGUGAGUUUACCCGUUGAAUAAGCACCGGCUAACUACGUGCCAGCAGCCGCGGUAAUACGUAGGGUGCAAGCGUUAUCCGGAAUUAUUGGGCGUAAAGGGCUCGUAGGCGGUUCGUCGCGUCCGGUGUGAAAGUCCAUCGCUUAACGGUGGAUCCGCGCCGGGUACGGGCGGGCUUGAGUGCGGUAGGGGAGACUGGAAUUCCCGGUGUAACGGUGGAAUGUGUAGAUAUCGGGAAGAACACCAAUGGCGAAGGCAGGUCUCUGGGCCGUUACUGACGCUGAGGAGCGAAAGCGUGGGGAGCGAACAGGAUUAGAUACCCUGGUAGUCCACGCCGUAAACGGUGGAUGCUGGAUGUGGGGCCCGUUCCACGGGUUCCGUGUCGGAGCUAACGCGUUAAGCAUCCCGCCUGGGGAGUACGGCCGCAAGGCUAAAACUCAAAGAAAUUGACGGGGGCCCGCACAAGCGGCGGAGCAUGCGGAUUAAUUCGAUGCAACGCGAAGAACCUUACCUGGGCUUGACAUGUUCCCGACGGUCGUAGAGAUACGGCUUCCCUUCGGGGCGGGUUCACAGGUGGUGCAUGGUCGUCGUCAGCUCGUGUCGUGAGAUGUUGGGUUAAGUCCCGCAACGAGCGCAACCCUCGCCCCGUGUUGCCAGCGGAUUAUGCCGGGAACUCACGGGGGACCGCCGGGGUUAACUCGGAGGAAGGUGGGGAUGACGUCAGAUCAUCAUGCCCCUUACGUCCAGGGCUUCACGCAUGCUACAAUGGCCGGUACAACGGGAUGCGACCCGG
This 1196-nucleotide ribosomal RNA is filed under the name Bifidobacterium longum. RNAcentral's name for it is "bacterial SSU rRNA". It matches the Rfam family "Bacterial small subunit ribosomal RNA", at positions 49 to 1257 of the family's 1533-position model. The record is from RNAcentral. Lineage: Bacteria; Bacillati; Actinomycetota; Actinomycetes; Bifidobacteriales; Bifidobacteriaceae.